CACGUAGGGCGCAAGCGUUGUCCGGAAUUAUUGGGCGUAAAGAGCUCGUAGGCGGACUGUCACGUCUGCUGUGAAAAGCUGGGGCUUAACCCUGGCCUUGCAGUGGAUACGGGCAGACUAGAGGUAGGUAGGGGAGACUGGAAUUCCUGGUGUAGCGGUGAAAUGCGCAGAUAUCAGGAGGAACACCAAUGGCGAAGGCAGCUCGCUGGGACGGUACUGACGCUGAGACGCGAAAGCGUGGGGAGCAAACAGG
RNAcentral lists this ribosomal RNA (253 nucleotides) under uncultured bacterium. RNAcentral's name for it is "partial 16S ribosomal RNA". It matches the Rfam family "Bacterial small subunit ribosomal RNA", at positions 524 to 776 of the family's 1533-position model. The record is from RNAcentral.